CUGAAAGAUCACAGAUCUCACUCUCAUCACCUCUAAAGAACAGCUGGAGAUUAGCAAAACUCAACACCUGCAGACCCUGAGCUACAGAGGACAGAACAGUCGGCAAAGGCAGAUCGACACCAAUCGUGACGAUCAUGAUGGGCCUGUUGUUCACCCUUCGCCUCCUCAUUGCUGGAGUCGUGUUGGUUUUGUUGCUU
Long non-coding RNA from Poeciliopsis prolifica (blackstripe livebearer), 197 nucleotides. RefSeq lists it as uncharacterized. The transcript has 3 exons. NCBI's taxonomy places the organism in Eukaryota, Metazoa, Chordata, Actinopteri, Cyprinodontiformes, Poeciliidae. The record is from RefSeq and is a predicted model, not a curated record.